This is a small nucleolar RNA of Hibiscus syriacus, 73 nucleotides long. RefSeq annotates it as small nucleolar RNA SNORD83. The transcript has a single exon. The record is from RefSeq and is a predicted model, not a curated record. Lineage: Eukaryota; Viridiplantae; Streptophyta; Magnoliopsida; Malvales; Malvaceae.
GUUACUUAUAUGUUUUAGACAAUGAGAGUUUUGCGCAAUGUUGAAUUUUUCAUGCCUCCAGUGACUGAUAACU